This 527-nucleotide unclassified non-coding RNA is filed under the name Desmognathus monticola. Its description in RNAcentral is "partial contains 12S ribosomal RNA, tRNA-Val, and 16S ribosomal RNA". Lineage: Eukaryota; Metazoa; Chordata; Amphibia; Caudata; Plethodontidae. The record is from RNAcentral.
UCUUCCCGCCAGAGCACUACGAGCUCAGCUUAAAACUCAAAGGACUUGGCGGUGCUCUACACCCACCUAGAGGAGCCUGUUCUAUAAUCGACACCCCCCGAUAAACCUCACCAUCUCUUGCCACUACAGCCUAUAUACCACCGCCCUCAGUUCACCUCUUAAAAGAACAAUAGUGAACAAAAUAAUUAAAAAUAAAAAAGUCAGGUCAAGGUGUAGCAAAUGAAAUGGGAAGAAAUGGGCUACAUUUUUUAUUAUAAAAAACACGGAAUAUCACAUGAAAUAAGAUAUAAAGGAGGAUUUAGAAGUAAAAAGAAAAGAGUGUUCUUUUUAAAUUGGCAAUAGAGCACGCACACACCGCCCGUCACCCUCUUCAAGAAUAAAAUAAUUUAAAUAAAGAUAUAUAUUACAAGAAAAGGUAAGUCGUAACAUGGUAAGUCUACCGGAAGGUGGCCUUGGAAUCAAAAAUAUAGCUUAAAUAAAGCAUUUUGCUUACACCAACAAACUUUGUAAAACCAGAUUAUUCUGAA